Cordylochernes scorpioides is the source of this 72-nucleotide non-coding RNA. NCBI's taxonomy places the organism in Eukaryota, Metazoa, Arthropoda, Arachnida, Pseudoscorpiones, Chernetidae. The record is from the annotation of a GenBank genome assembly.
UGUCCAAUGCGGGAUUCGAACCCGGGUCAUUGCUGUCUAAAACCAACAGUUUAUACCACUACACCACCAAAC